GCCAGCAGUUAUAUCAACCUGCUGAAGCUAAGCAGGUGUGAGCCUGGUCAGUACCAGGAUGGGAGACCUCCUGGGAAAAAUUAAGGUUGAUGCUGAAA
This 98-nucleotide ribosomal RNA is filed under the name Lepisosteus oculatus (spotted gar). The record is from RNAcentral. Lineage: Eukaryota; Metazoa; Chordata; Actinopteri; Semionotiformes; Lepisosteidae.